This 1286-nucleotide ribosomal RNA is filed under the name uncultured bacterium. RNAcentral's name for it is "bacterial SSU rRNA". It matches the Rfam family "Bacterial small subunit ribosomal RNA", at positions 93 to 1399 of the family's 1533-position model. The record is from RNAcentral.
GAGUGGCGGACGGGUGAGUAACGCGUGGGUAACCUGCCUUGUACAGGGGGAUAACAGUUGGAAACGGCUGCUAAUACCGCAUAAGCGCACGGCAUCGCAUGAUGCAGUGUGAAAAACUCCGGUGGUAUAAGAUGGACCCGCGUUGGAUUAGCCAGUUGGUGAGGUAAUGGCCCACCAAGGCGACGAUCCAUAGCCGACCUGAGAGGGUGACCGGCCACAUUGGGACUGAGACACGGCCCAAACUCCUACGGGAGGCAGCAGUGGGGAAUCUUGCGCAAUGGGGGGAACCCUGACGCAGCGACGCCGCGUGCGGGACGGAGGCCUUCGGGUCGUAAACCGCUUUCAGCAGGGAAGAGUCAAGACUGUACCUGCAGAAGAAGCCCCGGCUAACUACGUGCCAGCAGCCGCGGUAAUACGUAGGGGGCGAGCGUUAUCCGGAUUCAUUGGGCGUAAAGCGCGCGUAGGCGGCCCGGCAGGCCGGGGGUCGAAGCGGGGGGCUCAACCCCCCGAAGCCCCCGGAACCUCCGCGGCUUGGGUCCGGGAGGGGAGGGUGGAACACCCGGUGUAGCGGUGGAAUGCGCAGAUAUCGGGUGGAACACCGGUGGCGAAGGCGGCCCUGUGGGCCGAGACCGACGCUGAGGCGCAGAAAGCUGGGGGGAGCGAACAGGAUUAGAAUACCCUGGUAGUCCCAGCCGUAAACGAUGGACGCUAGGUGUGGGGGGACGAUCCCCCCGUGCCGCAGCCAACGCAUUAAGCGUCCCGCCUGGGGAGUACGGCCGCAAGGCUAAAACUCAAAGGAAUUGACGGGGGCCCGCACAAGCAGCGGAGCAUGUGGCUUAAUUCGAAGCAACGCGAAGAACCUUACCAGGGCUUGACAUAUGGGUGAAGCGGGGGAGACCCCGUGGCCGAGAGGAGCCCAUACAGGUGGUGCAUGGCUGUCGUCAGCUCGUGUCGUGAGAUGUUGGGUUAAGUCCCGCAACGAGAGCAACCCCCGCCGCGUGUUGCCAUCGGGUGAUGCCGGGAACCCACGCGGGACCGCCGCCGUCAAGGCGGAGGAGGGCGGGGACGACGUCAAGUCAUCAUGCCCCUUAUGCCCUGGGCUGCACACGUGCUACAAUGGCCGGUACAGAGGGAUGCCACCCCGCGAGGGGGAGCGGAUCCCGGAAAGCCGGCCCCAGUUCGGAUUGGGGGCUGCAACCCGCCCCCAUGAAGUCGGAGUUGCUAGUAAUCGCGGAUCAGCAUGCCGCGGUGAAUGCGUUCCCGGGCCUUGCACACAACGCCCGUCA